AUACGGAGGGUCCGAGCGUUAUCCGGAAUCAUUGGGUUUAAAGGGUCCGUAGGCGGGAAUCUAUGUCAGUGGUGAAAUCUUGCAGCUCAACUGUAAAAUUGCCAUUGAUACUGGAUUUCUUGAAUUAGUGUGAAGUGGUUAGAAUGUGUAGUGUAGCGGUGAAAUGCAUAGAUAUUACACAGAAUACCAAUUGCGAAGGCAGAUCACUAACACUAUAUUGACGCUGAGGGACGAAAGCGUGGGGAGCGAACAGGAUUAGAAACCCCAGUAGUCC
This 274-nucleotide ribosomal RNA is filed under the name uncultured bacterium. RNAcentral's name for it is "partial 16S ribosomal RNA". It matches the Rfam family "Bacterial small subunit ribosomal RNA", at positions 523 to 796 of the family's 1533-position model. The record is from RNAcentral.